AUAAUAUUACUUAUUUUGUCAUAAACUUAUUUUGCCAUUUUACAAACAGACAGAAAAAAAAAUUAAAGUUCUCUUAACUCGCAUAUUCGGCCGAUUCAAACUCCCCUCGAACACCACUAUUCUACUAGAAACGGUGACCGACGAAGCGUAGAGGUCCGAUUUACAACCAAGACUCGAAGGCUGCCAAUUUCAGCCUUGAAAUCCCCUCCAGAACUCCGAUUUCAACGAAGAAGGAGAAGAUUUCAGCUGCCUAUUUGCGAAUCUUCAAAUGGAAGGAUUAAGCGUAGCAGAUGCUAAUUUGUUGAUGUAUUUACACCCAUCAAAGAGUAGGAACGUGUCUCAGUCGAUUCUCCGUGAGCUUGGCUCUUUGCUAUUCAAGUUUAAUGAAACAUUUGAUGGUGUUUUAUUGGCCUAUGAUGUCAAUAUUCUGGAUAAACAGGCGAAAAUUCUUUCUGGUGUUCAUCCUUAUUUUGGUCUUAGACUAAAAGCAAAUCUCCUACUUUUUUCACCAAAGCCAGAUAUGCUCUUAGAGGGGAAGGUAGUGAAGCUUUCUCAAGAAUCUAUUCAUGUUAUUGUUCUCGGUUUCUCGUCUGCCAUCAUAACAGCUGAAAACAUUCAUGGAGAAUUUAAAUAUAGAACCAAAGACAAAGAGGAACUAUUUGCCAGCAAAUCUCACAAGCGACAUGUCAUAAAGGUUGGAACCAUGAUCCGAUUUUUAGUCAAGAGUUUUGAUGAGGAAAUACUUCAUAUCAUUGGAUCUCUGAUAUCAACUAACACAGGAAGCAUUCGUUGGUUGAAUAGACAUUUGGAGGAAGAUUCAGAAUUUGAUAGGAGUUCUAUGAAGAGUAGAGAUAGAGAAUGGCUUGGGGAUAACACUGUUGAUGAGGGAGCAACUCCCAUGAGCUACGAUAAUCAUAUUAAAAUGUCCAAAAAGCGUAGAAUCACAGAAUGAUGGUGAUGAUUACUUCAAAUCACUAAUUAUAUUAGGAGAUUUCUUGUUGUCAGGUAGUGGGGAGUGGUGGGCUGAAGGUCCAUGUAGAUGAAGGUAUAUUGCUUCUGGUGAUUGCUUCGGUAAGGAAUUGUUCUUCUGUUGAAGCUUGCUAAAAUUUUGAAAUCUUCCCUUCAAUUUUUCUGGUCGUUUUUUGUAUGUGACCAAGAUUGAAAAUUCCAGAUUCCCAAGUCGAUAAAAGAGAUUGCAAUUUUUUUCUCCUGUGAAGUAGGCGAUUUUUGUUUCCUAAUGAUGUAUGUUGAGUGACUUUUUUGUACGUUGUACAAGUAUAGACUUGGUCUUAUCUAUAAUAUGUUAACAUCGAAUUUAGCAAAAGGAAA
RNA transcript from Gossypium arboreum, 1329 nucleotides. RefSeq lists it as uncharacterized. The transcript is spliced from 8 exons. The record is from RefSeq and is a predicted model, not a curated record. Lineage: Eukaryota; Viridiplantae; Streptophyta; Magnoliopsida; Malvales; Malvaceae.